Molecule: ribosomal RNA, 277 nt
Filed under: uncultured prokaryote
Description: partial 16S ribosomal RNA
Rfam family: Bacterial small subunit ribosomal RNA
Source: RNAcentral
CACGAACUGCGCAAACGUUAUUCGGAAUCACUGGGCUUAAAGAGUUCGUAGGCGGCGCGUUAAGUCGGGUGUGAAAUCCCUCGGCUCAACCGAGGAAUUGCGCCCGAAACUGGCGUGCUUGAGUAAGAUAGAGGUGAGCGGAACUGAUGGUGGAGCGGUGAAAUGCGUUGAUAUCAUCAGGAACACCGGUGGCGAAAGCGGCUCACUGGGUCUUAACUGACGCUGAGGAACGAAAGCUAGGGUAGCGAACGGGAUUAGAUACCCCGGUACGGUCCCU